CAGUAGCCGCGGGAAUACGUAUGUCGCGAGCGUUAUCCGGAAUUAUUGGGCAUAAAGGGCAUCUAGGCGGCCGGAUAAGUCUGGGGUGAAAACUUGCAGCUCAACCGCAAGCCUGCCCUGGAAACUAUGCGGCUAGAGUACUGGAGAGGUGGACGGAACUGCACGAGUAGAGGUGAAAUUCGUAGACAUGUGCAGGAAUGCCGAUGAUGAAGAUAGUUCACUGGACGGUAACUGACGCUGAAGUGCGAAAGCUAGGGGAGCAAACAGGAUUAGAUACCCCGGUAGUCCCUGUCUCUUAUAA
Molecule: ribosomal RNA, 301 nt
Filed under: uncultured bacterium
Lineage: Bacteria
Description: partial 16S ribosomal RNA
Rfam family: Bacterial small subunit ribosomal RNA
Source: RNAcentral